UGACUAUGCGACGCCGCGUGUGCGAUGAAGGUCUUCGGAUUGUAAAGCACUGUCAGCCGGGAGGAAUCUCGGGGGUUUGAACAAAGCCGCCGGGUGACAGUACCAGCAGAGGAAGCACCGGCUAAAUACGUGCCAGCAGCCGCGGUAAUACGUAUGGUGCGAACGUUGUUCGGAAUCACUGGGCAUAAAGAGCACGUAGGCGGUCGGGCAAGUCCAUUGUGAAAUCCCCCGGCUUAACCGGGGAACUGCAAUGGAUACUACUCGGCUUGAGUGCAGGAGGGGAGAGUGGAAUUCCUGGUGGAGCGGUGAGAUGCGUAGAUAUCAGGAGGAACGCCGGCGGCGAAGGCGACUCUCUGGUCUGCCACUGACGCUGAGGUGCGAAAGCUAGGGGAGCAAACGGGAUUAGAUACCCCGGUAGUCCUAGCCCUAAACGAU
Molecule: ribosomal RNA, 435 nt
Filed under: uncultured bacterium
Lineage: Bacteria
Description: bacterial SSU rRNA
Rfam family: Bacterial small subunit ribosomal RNA
Source: RNAcentral